AUUUCACAUAUUCUUCCCCGCGCCUCCACACCCUCCCCUCCAAAUGCUCUAUCGGCGGCGCUUCUCAGCCUUGCACCGCCGUCGCACUUUUCGCCGCCGUCGCACUUUUCGCCGCCGCCGCACCUUUCCCCGCCGCCACACCGAACCUCCGUUGCACUGAACUUUCAUUGCCCCGUCACACCCCUUCCCGGAUCUUCUAUGUGUGUUGCUCACGUCGUUCCCUUUCGAACCCUAAUGUGCAUUUCUCCACCACCGUCUUCGUCGCCUUCAUCUACCUUCGCGAUUUUAUAAAACUACAGCACUAACCAUAACCAGUGGCGUCCGCUGAGCAGCCCUUGAAGAAGCGAAAGCACAACACUCUCCCGGAAUCCCCACUGUCACACCACCGCCGCUAGCACUACCGCCACAAUCUCCUCAAACCCUAGCUCGUCCGCCUACUCCUCCUCCUCCGCCUCUGUCACAGGAUGAAGUCAUCACCAAGCAGAGGAACAAAGAUGAGGUUCGAACCAUGUUUGAGAGUUACCGUUGCAUCAAGCUCUUCUUGUCAAAGAAGGAAGGUGAUUUCAUCCAUGACCUUGAUCAGAGCUUCUUCGCUCUCGUAAAUGCUUCCAGAGGUCUGUGAACUGGACUUGAUAUUCAACUUCCAUAAGUUUUUCAGUGGAAUAGAGAAUUA
Molecule: non-coding RNA, 673 nt
Organism: Arachis ipaensis
Lineage: Eukaryota; Viridiplantae; Streptophyta; Magnoliopsida; Fabales; Fabaceae
Source: RefSeq, a predicted model, not a curated record